GACGAACGCUGGCGGCGUGCUUAACACAUGCAAGUCGAACGGAAAGGCCCUUCUUUUGUGGGUUGCUCGAGUGGCGAACGGGUGAGUAACAUGUGAGUAACCUGCCCUUGACUUUGCUAUAACUUCACGACACUGGAGCUUAUACCGUAUAGGAGCUCCUGCUGCAUUGUGGGGGUUGGAAAGUUUCGGCGGUUGGGUAUGGACUCGCGGCGUUUCAGGUUGUUGGUGGGGUAGUGGCUUACCAAGGCUUUGACGGGUAGCCGGCCUGAGAGGGUUACCGGCAACAUUGGGACUGAGAUAGGGCCCAGACUCCUACGGGAGGGAGCAGUGGGGAAUAUUGCAAAAUGGGGGGAAGCCUGAUGCGGCAAAGCCGCGUGCGGGAUGAAGGCCUUCGGGUUGUAAACCGCUUUCGCCUGUGACGAAGCGUGAGUGACGGUAAUGGGUAAAGAAGCACCGGCUAACUACGUG
This 468-nucleotide ribosomal RNA is filed under the name uncultured bacterium. Its description in RNAcentral is "partial 16S ribosomal RNA". It matches the Rfam family "Bacterial small subunit ribosomal RNA", at positions 28 to 507 of the family's 1533-position model. The record is from RNAcentral.